CUGCACCUGACAGGACUGUUUCAGUUUGCACUUUGGUCUUUUUGUUUCAGUGUUCAGAUAAAUAAAGGUCAUGAACUCUUACCACGCUGCUCUUUGGUCCGAUUCCUCCUCAUCAGACGACGACACACGUUACAGUGAUUUGCCUUCCAGUCCCAUCAUUACUGUCUCAGUGAGGUGAAGGAAGGGACCCCUGUCAGUUUGAACUGCUCUGCUGUCACUCCCUGUCCCGAACACCCCCCUGAGCUGACAUGGACUCUCCCAACACAGUUCACACCUGAGAACCAACUGCAGGAGAAUUCAGACCAAACCAAAUCAGUUCUCUCCACGGUGAUCUUCACUCCAUCAUACCUUCAUCAUGAGAAGAACAUCACUUGUACUGCAGUCUACCCAGUAGGGACAAGCAACAAGACAGCUGAACAUAACAUGAUGCUUAACGUUUCAUUCUCUCCUAAGGACACCUCGGCCUCCAUCAGUCCAGCUGAUCCAGUAUUAGUGGGCAGCUGUGUUAAUCUGACCUGCAGCAGUACAGCCAACCCUCCUGUGACAACCUUCAUCUGGUUCCGGAUCUGUGG
Non-coding RNA from Oncorhynchus mykiss (rainbow trout), 572 nucleotides. The record is from RefSeq and is a predicted model, not a curated record. NCBI's taxonomy places the organism in Eukaryota, Metazoa, Chordata, Actinopteri, Salmoniformes, Salmonidae.